AUUGGACGCUGGCGGCAUGCCUUACACAUGCAAGUCGAACGGCAGCACGGGUGCUUGCACCUGGUGGCGAGUGGCGAACGGGUGAGUAAUACAUCGGAACGUACCUUAUCGUGGGGGAUAACGCAGCGAAAGCUGUGCUAAUACCGCAUACGCCCUGAGGGGGAAAGCGGGGGAUCGCAAGGCCUCGCGCGAUUAGAGCGGCCGAUGCCUGAUUAGCUUGUUGGUGGGGUAAAAGCCCACCAAGGCGACGAUCAGUAGCUGGUCUGAGAGGACGAUCAGCCACACUGGGACUGAGACACGGCCCAGACUCCUACGGGAGGCAGCAGUGGGGAAUUUUGGACAAUGGGGGCAACCCUGAUCCAGCAAUGCCGCGUGAGUGAAGAAGGCCUUCGGGUUGUAAAGCUCUUUUGUCAGGGAAGAAACACCGGCUCUAACACAGUCUGGGAAUGACGGUACCUGAAGAAUAAGCACCGGCUAACUACGUGCCAGCCGCCGCCGUAA
This 501-nucleotide ribosomal RNA is filed under the name uncultured bacterium. Its description in RNAcentral is "partial 16S ribosomal RNA". It matches the Rfam family "Bacterial small subunit ribosomal RNA", at positions 29 to 523 of the family's 1533-position model. The record is from RNAcentral.